Molecule: ribosomal RNA, 1966 nt
Filed under: Bacteroides faecis
Lineage: Bacteria; Pseudomonadati; Bacteroidota; Bacteroidia; Bacteroidales; Bacteroidaceae
Description: partial 23S ribosomal RNA
Rfam family: Bacterial large subunit ribosomal RNA
Source: RNAcentral
AAAGAAAGUAAGCAAGGGCGCAUGGCGGAUGCCUUGGCUCUCGGAGGCGAUGAAGGACGUGAUAAGCUGCGAUAAGCUCUGGGUAGGUGCAAAUAACCUUUGAUCCAGAGAUUUCCGAAUGGGACAACCCGGCAUUCUGAAGGAAUGUCAUCCAUCCUUGAUGGAAGCUAACGCAGGGAACUGAAACAUCUUAGUACCUGUAGGAAAAGAAAAUAAUAAUGAUUCCCCUAGUAGUGGCGAGCGAACGGGGAACAGCCCAAACCACCCAUGUUACGGCAUGUGUGGGGUUGUAGGACCACGAUAUCGCAAGACAUCUGAUGAAUAGAAUCCUCUGGAAAGUGGAACCAUAGACGGUGAUAGUCCUGUAUAUGAAGUCAGAUUAAGCGUAGUGGUAUCCUGAGUAGCGCGGGACACGAGAAAUCUUGCGUGAAUCUGCCGGGACCAUCCGGUAAGGCUAAAUACUCCCGAGAGACCGAUAGCGAACCAGUACUGUGAAGGAAAGGUGAAAAGCACUUCGAACAGAAGAGUGAAAUAGUCCCUGAAACCGUGCGCCUACAAGCGGUCGGAGCUGCGUAAGCAGUGACGGCGUGCCUUUUGCAUAAUGAACCUACGAGUUACUUUUUCCGGCAAGGUUAAGCAUCUUGAGAUGUGCAGCCGAAGCGAAAGCGAGUCUGAACAGGGCGUCGAGUCGGAAGGAGUAGACGCGAAACCAAGUGAUCUACCCUUGGUCAGGUUGAAGGUUAGGUAACACUAACUGGAGGACCGAACCGAUAAGCGUUGAAAAGCUUCCGGAUGAACUGAGGGUGGGGGUGAAAGGCUAAUCAAACUUGGAGAUAGCUCGUACUCCCCGAAAUGCAUUUAGGUGCAGCCUUGUGAGUUACUAAUGUGAGGUAGAGCGACUGAUAAGAUGCGAGGGCUUCACCGCCUAUCAAGUCUUGAUAAACUCCGAAUGCGCAUUAGUUCUAUCACAGGAGUGAGGGCAUGGGUGCUAAGGUCCAUGUCCUAAAGGAGAAGAAUCCAGACCAUCAGCUAAGGUCCCGAAAUAAACACUAAGUUGAACUAACGAAGUCAGAUUGCUAAGACAGCUAGGAUGUUGGCUUGGAAGCAGCCAUUCAUUUAAAGAGUGCGUAACAGCUCACUAGUCGAGGAGUUUGGCGUGGAUAAUAAUCGGGCAUCAAGUGUUUUACCGAAGCUAUGGGAUCAGUAAUGAUCGGUAGGGGAGCAUUCCACUCUGCGUCGAAGGUGAAGCGUGAGCUUUGCUGGAGCGUGUGGAAAAGCAAAUGUAGGUAUAAGUAACGAUAAAGGGGGUGAGAAACCCCCUCGCCGAAAGACUAAGGUUUCCUGAUCAACGCUAAUCGGAUCAGGGUUAGUCGGGUCCUAAGGCUCAGCCGAACGGUGAGGCCGAUGGCAGAACAGGUUAAUAUUCCUGUACUACCUUAAGGAGUGACGUGGAGACGGAGGCGUGACAGCGCCGCGGACUGACGGAAUAGUCCGUUGAAGGGUGUAGAUGUUGAUUAUCCCAGGCAAAUCCGGGAUAAGAGUCGAACCUGAUAGUAUGGAACGUUCUUCGGAACAAUCCAAUAGUGCGUGUAAUCAUACUCCCAAGAAAAUCCGCUAAACUUAAUCCUUAAGGUACCCGUACCGCAAACGGACACACGUAGUCGGGUUGAAUAUACUAAGGCGCUUGAGUGAUUCACGGUUAAGGAACUAGGCAAAUUGACCCUGUAACUUCGGGAUAAAGGGUCCCAACGAGAGUUGGGCGCAGAGAAUAGGUCCAGGCAACUGUUUAACAAAAACACAGGGCUGUGCGAAAUUGAAAGAUAAUGUAUACAGCCUGACACCUGCCCGGUGCUGGAAGGUUAAGAGGAGAUGUCAUCGCAAGAGAAGCAUUGAAUUGAAGCCCCAGUAAACGGCGGCCGUAACUAUAACGGUCCUAAGGUAGCGAAAUUCCUUGUCGGGUAAGUUC